GAUGAACGCUGGCGGCGUGCUUAACACAUGCAAGUCGAACGAACCUUCGGGUUAGUGGCGGACGGGUGAGUAACGCGUGAGAAUCUGCCCUCAGGAGGGGGACAACAGCUGGAAACGGCUGCUAAUACCCCAUAUGCCGCGAGGUGAAAUGAAUUUCGCCUGAGGAUGAGCUCGCGUCUGAUUAGCUAGUUGGUGUAGGUAAUGGCUCACCAAGGCAUCGAUCAGUAGCUGGUCUGAGAGGAUGAUCAGCCACACUGGGACUGAGACACGGCCCAGACUCCUACGGGAGGCAGCAGUGGGGAAUUUUCCGCAAUGGGCGAAAGCCUGACGGAGCAGCGCCGCGUGAGGGAUGAAGGCCUCUGGGCUGUAAACCUCUUUUAUCAAGGAAGAAGAUCUGACGGUACUUAAGGGUAAGCCACGGCUAAUUCCGUG
Molecule: ribosomal RNA, 432 nt
Filed under: uncultured bacterium
Lineage: Bacteria
Description: bacterial SSU rRNA
Rfam family: Bacterial small subunit ribosomal RNA
Source: RNAcentral